AUUGAACGCUGGCGGCAGGCCUAACACAUGCAAGUCGAGCGAGCGGCGGACGGGUGAGUAAUGUCUGGGAAACUGCCUGAUGGAGGGGGAUAACUACUGGAAACGGUAGCUAAUACCGCAUACCAUCAGAUGUGCCCAGAUGGGAUUAGCUAGUAGGUGGGGGAACGGCCCACCUAGGCGACGAUCCCUAGCUGGUCGGGGGGGAUGACCAGCCACCUGGGACCUGAGACACGGUCCAGACUCCUCCGUGAGGAAGCCGUGGGGAAUGUUGCACAAUGGGGGCACCCCUGAUGCAGCCAUGCCGCGUGUGUGAAGAGGGCCUUCGGGUUGUAAAGCCCUUACAGCGGGGAGGCGUUACUCGCAGAAGAAGCACCGGCUAACUCCGUGCCAGCAGCCGCGGUAAUUC
RNAcentral lists this ribosomal RNA (406 nucleotides) under uncultured bacterium. RNAcentral's name for it is "partial 16S ribosomal RNA". It matches the Rfam family "Bacterial small subunit ribosomal RNA", at positions 29 to 526 of the family's 1533-position model. The record is from RNAcentral.